Molecule: long non-coding RNA, 1767 nt
Filed under: Homo sapiens (human)
Lineage: Eukaryota; Metazoa; Chordata; Mammalia; Primates; Hominidae
Description: HSALNT0158775
Source: RNAcentral
GUUUGUCCUUCACUUUAAGCCUCAUCUAUAUUUCUUCUCUGUUUAUGUUGAAUUUUCUUUGUUACAUUAAAAAUCUCUUAAGUGUCUCUAAUUCAUAUGUCAGGGAUUCAAGAUUCCAAACACAUUGCUUAGCUGCAACAGAAACCCAUGUCAUUGAUUGCAUUUAUCUCACUGCUGCUUGUAUAGUGAGUCAAUACCAUCCUAGCCACCUUCAAUGUCUCCCCAGCACCAGCAAGGAGAACCACCUUACCAUUUCCAGUGAAGCUAUUAUAUUUUAUAUCUAGUCACCUCCUUUCCUCUUCCUGUGUUUAUACCAUGGUAGGUCAUCUGUCAGGUGAACAGUUGGGCUUCCUAAGGCUUCUCCUGGGAAGAAAUGAUUGAUAUGAUGAGUGAGUUGUUAACGUGUCCCCUUUUUCCUUUUCUCUUUGGAAUCUGCCCACUCUCAGAAAGCACAGUUGGCGCCACCCUGCUACUCAGCAGUGAGGAGGGAGCAAGUCUUAGGGCUUCUAGCUUGGUUUAUGGCUGAAUGGGGUAGUCAUCGCCUGCUGUGCCACCAGAGCUGGAAGCCCGAUUUUGUCAUGCAGAUAAGCCACAUUCUUCUACAGCUUUAUUGGUAACAAAGAUAACAUAUUGAUGUCCAUUUGCCAAACACCCUUGUCCUUCAAAGAUGGUUCAAAAUGACAUGGAUAUUUAGAUGGGAUGUCCACCAUAAUUAUUUUUUUGCUGAGCUUCAAGAAUAUUCUUUUGUUUGUCAGUGAUACAUAAUUAGAGAAUAUGAGGAAUCACGGUUUCAUAUGUUAUGUCUCGACUGCCAUGAAUGAGACAGUGUGAAGAACAGAAACCAAUGCAAUGAACAGCCCUGGAAGCCGCCAGCGAUGGCUUGUCUGACAACAGAAAGAGGCAGGUUUCUCUCCUGAGCCUUGCACAGACGAUGCUGGCCCAAAUCCUUCCUGAUAAACAUCAAAUGGAGACAACCAGCUACAAGCAAUUCCUCCAACAACAGAAUAAAUAUUGGCACACCAAGAAAUAAUCUACUGAUGGGAAUAGAGGCCCUGAAAAUCAUCCCACAGUGAGUCAAUCCCAAGUUCAGCAGCAAAUCCUCAUUUUGACAGAAUCAGGAAGAUGUUGAAGAGGAACUCAAUCAGCUACUGAUGACUCCACUGAUUAUGGGCUUUCUCAAGCUGCCUUUAUGAAGAACAGGAAGACAAGAUGGUCGGCUCUUAUCCCUGAAGAGGAACUUGAUCCUGAUGGAAACAUCCUAAUGGAAAAUGUGGGUUGGGAUGGGAGCCCGUGAUGAAGUGGCAGCUUGGCCUCACCACAAGUCAUUCCAGUGACAUGCGUCACAGUGCCUUCCAGCUCCAAAUUUUCAGAAAUAGUUUUGCAUAUGGAAAAAUAUGAGGUGACAUAAAAUGGUAACAAAGGUUCUACAUUUCUAUUGACUCUUCAACCACAUGUCAAUUAGGGCCAAUAUUUAGAACAUACUGGAUCUUCUGAAAGCGUGAGAAAGGAAGGUGCAUUUCCUUGCUCUCCUUGCAAAAUAUACAUAGCUACGCAUUUGAUUUUUAUUGGGAAUGUAAUCAACAGAAUAUUUUAAUAAAAAAUGUGAAAGCAGGCAGAAAAUUUUCAUAUACAACAUAUAUAUAUAAUAUAUAUAUGUAGAAAAUGUACUUUAUUAUCAGCCAUUUCAAUUACCAUGGACUCUAAAUGUUAUGAGUUUAAUUAAAUAAAGAUGAGUUUUAAAAAUAAAGAAAUGUACACAUUCAGCAU